AAAUUCUAAGGUGCUUGUGAGAACCCUCGUUCAGGAACUCGGCAAAAUGUAACCGUAACUUCGGGAGAAGGUUAGCCCUGUCAACCAAUGGCAGGGUCGCAGAGAAAUGUUUCAGGCGACUGUUUAACAAAGACACAGGUCUCCGCAAAGUUGUAAAGACAACGUAUGGGGGCUGACGCCUGCCCAAUGCUGGAAGGUUAAGAGGAGUGGUUAGUCGUAAGGCGAAGCUGCGAAUCGAAGCCCCAGUGAAUGGCGGCCGUAACGAUAACGGUCCUAAGGUAGCGAAAUUCCUUGUCGGGUAAGUUCCGACCUGCACGAAUGGCGUAACGAUCUGAAAGCUGUCUUAACGAGGGACACAGCGAACUUGUAGUACCGGUGAAGAUGCCGGUUUCCCGCAUCUAGACGGAAAGACCCCGUGCACCUUGACUACAACUUGAUAGUGAUUUCGGGUAAAUAAUGCGCAGCAUAGGUGGGAGGCUUUGAUAUCAGACUUUUGGGUUUGGUGGAGCCACCGGUGAGAUACCACCCUUUAUUUAUUUGGACUCUAACCUCGACCCGUAAAUCCGGGCCAGGGACAUUAUCAGGCGGGUAGUUUGACUGGGGCGGUCGCCUCCUAAAGAGUAACGGAGGCGCUCGAAGGUUGGCUCAGGCUGUUUGGAAAUCAGCCGCAGAGUGUAAACGCAUAAGCCAGCUUAACUGCGAGACAUACACGUCGAGCAGGUACGAAAGUAGGAGUUAGUGAUCCGGCGGUCGCUUAUGGAAGUGCCGUCGCUCAACGGAUAAAAGGUACGCCGGGGAUAACAGGCUGAUCCUGCCCAAGAGUUCACAUCGACGGCAGGGUUUGGCACCUCGAUGUCGGCUCAUCAUAUCCUGGGGCUGAAGAAGGUCCCAAGGGUUCGGCUGUUCGCCGAUUAAAAUGGUACGUGAGCUGGGUUCAGAACGUCGCGAGACAGUUCGGUCCCUAUCUGGUGUGGGCGCAGCAAUAUUGAAGGAAUCUGACCUUAGUACGAGAGGACCGGGUUGGGUUGACCUCUAGUGUACGUGUUAUGGCGCCAGCCGUAUCGCACGGUAGCUAUGUCGAGCAUGGAUAAACGCCGAAUGCAUCUAAGCGUGAAGCCAGUCCUAAGAUUAAUAUUGCCAGUGAGACUCGUGGAAGACCACCACGUUGAUAGGCUAGAGAUGUAAGUGCAGUAAUGUAUUUAGUUGACUAGUACUAAUUGUCCCAAGGCUUGACC
This 1235-nucleotide ribosomal RNA is filed under the name metagenome. RNAcentral describes it as "bacterial LSU rRNA". It matches the Rfam family "Bacterial large subunit ribosomal RNA", at positions 1676 to 2925 of the family's 2925-position model. The record is from RNAcentral.